CAGAAUCAAACAAAACUGAAGCAUGAAUACCAGAUACAGGAAUGGUACCUGUCACCACAGUAUUGGAGGCCUGAGCAUCCUGUUGUGUGAGUGCAUAGAUUCUUCCUUGAGUUUUCGGCCUUUGACCUCCGUCCUUUGCUUGUGUUGAUCUAUUUUCGUCCAUCUACGGGCAAUCUGCAAUCUUGUGUCCUUUCUGGCCACAUCUAAAACACGAACCAGUAUUCCAUGGGCAAUUUGAAAUCUCAUGCUCUCUUCGACUGCAUCUCGAACAUCUAGCUGUCUCAUUCUCACGAUUCUUAUCAGUUGCUGGCUUCUUUGCUGGAACCUUAUUGUUCUGAUUUCAUCCUUGAGUUCCACUAAAUCUAUUUCUCUUCUUCUGAUUCCGUUCACGCUCCGCAUGAGCUUUAUUAGCUUCUCUCUCAAUUAUUAGAGCUUUGUUCACAACUGAGGCAUAGGUAGUUAGCUCAUAGGGUACAAUCUAUUUUCUGAUUUCUGUCUUCAGUCCCAUUUCAAAUUUGUGUACCCUGUCUUGCUCAAUCUCAACUAGUCUCGAAACAAACUUGGCUAACUCCGUGAAUUUGGCUUCAUAUUCUGCAACGGAUCUGUUACCCUAUCUCAGGUGAAUGAACUCCUGUUCUUUCUGUAUUCUGACACUUCGAGAGAAAAACUUGUCGAAGAAUUCAUCUCAAAAUCUCUCCCAAGUGAGUGGUAUCCCAUCGUGCUCAUAUUUUUGUUCCAGUAUACGCCACCAGUUGUAUGCCUCGCCUUGUAACAG
Molecule: long non-coding RNA, 775 nt
Filed under: Elaeis guineensis (African oil palm)
Lineage: Eukaryota; Viridiplantae; Streptophyta; Magnoliopsida; Arecales; Arecaceae
Description: long non-coding RNA (EGUI_LNC051675)
Source: RNAcentral